RNAcentral lists this ribosomal RNA (468 nucleotides) under uncultured bacterium. RNAcentral's name for it is "partial 16S ribosomal RNA". It matches the Rfam family "Bacterial small subunit ribosomal RNA", at positions 28 to 507 of the family's 1533-position model. The record is from RNAcentral.
GACGAACGCUGGCGGCGUGCUUAACACAUGCAAGUCGAACGGAAAGGCCCUGCUUUUGUGGGGUGCUCGAGUGGCGAACGGGUGAGUAACACGUGAGUAACCUGCCCUUGACUUUGGGAUAACUUCAGGAAACUGGAGCUAAUACCGGAUAGGAGCUCCUGCUGCAUGGUGGGGGUUGGAAAGUUUCGGCGGUUGGGGAUGGACUCGCGGCUUAUCAGCUUGUUGGUGGGGUAGUGGCUUACCAAGGCUUUGACGGGUAGCCGGCCUGAGAGGGUGACCGGCCACAUUGGGACUGAGAUACGGCCCAGACUCCUACGGGAGGCAGCAGUGGGGAAUAUUGCACAAUGGGCGGAAGCCUGAUGCAGCAACGCCGCGUGCGGGAUGACGGCCUUCGGGUUGUAAACCGCUUUCGCCUGUGACGAAGCGUGAGUGACGGUAAUGGGUAAAGAAGCACCGACUAACUACGUG